UCUGACGUGCARAUCGAUCGUGUCACUUGGGUAUAGGGGCGAAAGACUAAUCGAACCGUCUAGUAGCUGGUUCCCUCCGAAGUUUCCCUCAGGAUAGCUGGAGCCCGUUGUAGUGUCAGUUUCGUCGGGUAAAGCGAAUGAUUAGAGGUAUCGGGACCGAAAGGGUCUCGACCUAUUCUCAAACUUUGAAUCGGCGAGUGAGACGGUCGCCUUGCCUGUCGGAAGGCGUCCGGUCAGUUGUCGGAAUGUGGUGGCUCCACGUGGGCCGUUUUUGGUAAGCAGAACCGGCGAUGCGGGAUGAACCGAAAGUCGGGCUAAGGCGCCUGAGUCGACGCUGAACAGAUACCAGGAAAGGUGUUGGUUGAUCCAGACAGCAGGACGGUGGCCAUGGAAGUCGGAACCCGCCAAGGAGUGUGUAACAACUCACCUGCCGAAUCAACUAGCCCUGAAAAAGGAUGGCGCUCAAGCGUCGCGCCUAGUUUCCCGACGUCCGGCGGCAGUGUGUUUCGUUUGCCCNGGCAGUAGGAGGGCGCGGAGGUCCCGCGAUUANCGACCNUGAGCGGUGCAGCCCGCGGCUCGAGCGCGGGUGGAGCGGCCUCCGGUGCUGAUCUUGGUGGUAGUAGCAAGUAUUCAAGGGAGGUCCUUGAAGACCGAAGUGGAGAANGGUUCCGUGUGAACAGCAGUUGGACACGGGUGAGUCGAUCCUGAGGGAAGGGGUAGUCCCCCCGUUGGCCCGACGGGGCGUCCGUCUCUCGGCGCCGUUCGGCUCGU
This 771-nucleotide ribosomal RNA is filed under the name Haplosclerine sp. 010313-08. RNAcentral describes it as "eukaryotic LSU rRNA". It matches the Rfam family "Eukaryotic large subunit ribosomal RNA", at positions 885 to 1593 of the family's 3401-position model. The record is from RNAcentral. Lineage: Eukaryota; Metazoa; Porifera; Demospongiae; Haplosclerida.